Molecule: ribosomal RNA, 706 nt
Filed under: Salmonella enterica
Lineage: Bacteria; Pseudomonadati; Pseudomonadota; Gammaproteobacteria; Enterobacterales; Enterobacteriaceae
Description: partial 23S ribosomal RNA
Rfam family: Bacterial large subunit ribosomal RNA
Source: RNAcentral
UUUACCUGUGUGACUGCGUACCUUUUGUAUAAUGGGUCAGCGACUUAUAUUCUGUAGCAAGGUUAACCGAAUAGGGGAGCCGGAGGGAAACCGAGUCUUAACCGGGCGUUAAGUUGCAGGGUAUAGACCCGAAACCCGGUGAUCUAGCCAUGGGCAGGUUGAAGGUUGGGUAACACUAACUGGAGGACCGAACCGACUAAUGUUGAAAAAUUAGCGGAUGACCUGUGGCUGGGGGUGAAAGGCCAAUCAAACCGGGAGAUAGCUGGUUCUCCCCGAAAGCUAUUUAGGUAGCGCCUCGUGAAUUCAUCUCCGGGGGUAGAGCACUGUUUCGGCUAGGGGGCCAUCCCGGCUUACCAACCCGAUGCAAACUGCGAAUACCGGAGAAUGUUAUCACGGGAGACACACGGCGGGUGCUAACGUCCGUCGUGAAGAGGGAAACAACCCAGACCGCCAGCUAAGGUCCCAAAGUCAUGGUUAAGUGGGAAACGAUGUGGGAAGGCCCAGACAGCCAGGAUGUUGGCUUAGAAGCAGCCAUCAUUUAAAGAAAGCGUAAUAGCUCACUGGUCGAGUCGGCCUGCGCGGAAGAUGUAACGGGGCUAAACCAUGCACCGAAGCUGCGGCAGCGAACGUAUCACUUAAAGCGAUUCAGCGGGUUACGAUUGACGGAGCGAAGCGACGUCAAAGCGUAUACAAAGUCGAGUCGGUU